ACUUCUUUAUAAAAUCAUCAGUCUCAUUGAUCAUGAGGAUACAAUGAGACAGGCAUUAUAGUGUCCUGCCAAGUAGAGAACAUGAAAUGUGUGGAACAUUUUGAGAAAGCAAUUCAACAACAGGUAUUAACAGCUUUAAAAGUGUCCAUGUCUCUUUAUCCAGGAAUUUUCCUUGGAGAUCACAGAAGCAGCUGUCUACUGUGUCUCAAGCCCCUUGCAGAAGGCUGGCUCCCAGGCAGGAGGAGCAAUUGCUUCCCCACAGCCUGGAAAGUCUGCCCGAGACAAGCUCCUACAGGAACAGCAAACACACUUGCCCUUCGCUGCCUCCCCUGCCCCCACCUCACUUCCUCUCCUGCCUUGCUCAGACCCCCUCCCACACCUCUCCCUGGAGUCCGGAAUGAGAUCAGCACCUCCGGACGGGUGUGUGCCAAGUGACCUGCUUAAACUCAUUUGCUCCUGGGACAUAAUUCCCAAGGAAGUACAUUUUAAUUAAACUUUCCGGUAAACACGUCUUUUGCUCUAUAAUAACUCCAUUAAAAAGAGAUCACUGUAAAGAAGCUGUUCUAUCCCAUAAACAUUGAAAACAGACAAACAGGCUCCUGAGCCAGGCUGGCAGCACUGGAGCUUCUCCACUCCACAGCCUCAGCCUCCCUGCAGGUGCCUGCCUGGGUCCUCCUGCUUCCAGACUUUUUCUCCAGGGGUUUCUCCCCACCUGGAAUGCUCAGAGAGCCUCUCUGCCC
This 740-nucleotide long non-coding RNA is filed under the name Homo sapiens (human). Its description in RNAcentral is "non-protein coding lnc-FAM49A-7:1". The record is from RNAcentral. Lineage: Eukaryota; Metazoa; Chordata; Mammalia; Primates; Hominidae.